This 238-nucleotide unclassified non-coding RNA is filed under the name Glomeromycetes sp. RNAcentral's name for it is "partial contains 5.8S ribosomal RNA and internal transcribed spacer 2". The stretch from base 1 to 71 matches the Rfam family "5.8S ribosomal RNA", at positions 84 to 154 of the family's 154-position model. The record is from RNAcentral. Lineage: Eukaryota; Fungi; Glomeromycota; Glomeromycetes.
GUGAAUCAUCGAAUUUUUGAACGCAAAUUGCACUCUUUGGUAUUCCGGAGAGUAUGCCUGUUUGAGGGUCAGUUUAAUUAUACAUCGGUGUGGUAGCUUCCUUUCGUGUUGUUGUACCAGAGGUGUUUCGUCUUGCCUUCGGUUAAGUGAGGUGAAAUUGUGCAUUUUAUUUUCGAACGUAUUUAUAUGAUUUUAUGUACUUUUGCGAUUUCUUAGACUAUUUGAGGUUAUAAUAAUG